GAACGUUCUCAGGGCGGGGCGAAAUUCCCCACCGGCGGUAAUCAUGCUCCGCGCAUGUAGCCCGCGAACAGCUCGCCUCGGGUGCGCCCGACGCGAUGCCUGCCGACCCGGUGCGAUUCCGGGGCCGACGGUCAUAGUCCGGAUGAGAGAGAGCGGGG
RNAcentral lists this non-coding RNA (158 nucleotides) under Burkholderia glumae. RNAcentral's name for it is "FMN sequence". It matches the Rfam family "FMN riboswitch aptamer (RFN element)". From Rfam's summary of the family: The RFN element is a highly conserved domain that is found frequently in the 5'-untranslated regions of prokaryotic mRNAs that encode for flavin mononucleotide (FMN) biosynthesis and transport proteins. This element is a metabolite-dependent riboswitch that directly binds FMN in the absence of proteins. Lineage: Bacteria; Pseudomonadati; Pseudomonadota; Betaproteobacteria; Burkholderiales; Burkholderiaceae. RNAcentral also lists the same sequence under 1 other name. The record is from RNAcentral.